Molecule: ribosomal RNA, 313 nt
Filed under: uncultured fungus
Lineage: Eukaryota; Fungi
Description: partial small subunit ribosomal RNA
Rfam family: Eukaryotic small subunit ribosomal RNA
Source: RNAcentral
GCUUGUCUCAAAGAUUAAGCCAUGCAUGUCUAAGUGUAAAUACGUCUACACUGUGAAACUGCGAAUGGCUCAUUAAAUCAGUUAUCGUUUAUUUGAUGAUCUCUUGUUACAUGGAUAACCGUAGUAAUUCUAGAGCUAAUACAUGCGAAAAGUCCCAACGCAAGGCGGGAUGUAUUUAUUAGAUACAAAACCAAUGGGGGCAACCUCUUUUUGGUGAUUCAUAGUAACUGUUCGAAUCGCACGCGCAAGCAGGCGAUAGUUCAUUCAAAUUUCUGCCCUAUCAGCUUUUGACGGUAGUGUAGUGGACUACCGU